This is a long non-coding RNA of Cygnus atratus (black swan), 1850 nucleotides long. RefSeq lists it as uncharacterized. The transcript is spliced from 3 exons. The record is from RefSeq and is a predicted model, not a curated record. NCBI's taxonomy places the organism in Eukaryota, Metazoa, Chordata, Aves, Anseriformes, Anatidae.
UUUAAAAUCAGAUACAAUAAUACAUCUGACAUAGUGCUGUAUCAUAUAUAGAUUUCCUUUGCACAGAUCAUUUGAUUUCAUCAAAUUCCUGCAGUUUUUCUUUGGUUUGAGGAAAAGAUGCACCUGUAUCCCUAGGAACACUGUGACAGUAAAAUGGAUAGUUCAUUUGUAGAACCUGCAGGUGCUGGUGGAAAUAACACAGGCGGAAGAGAUCACCACUGCUUAUCUCCCUUCACCUCCAACUUGAAACUCAAGAUGGUUCUACAGGGAGACAAACUAUUUUCACCUCUAUAAUGUUGAGCCCCUGUGUAAAAAUGUUGAACAUCCUGUAUGCAAUGUAAUGAAAAUCCAUAUGAUAGAAAGGAAGCAAAAGGAACACAGUUGCAGUUUCAUCCCACCAGUUCUGCUUAAGGUGUCAACUUAAGAGAUGAAAGUGUGGCUAACAGCUUUAACUGCUCAUUUCAAAUCAUCCACAUAUAAAUCAAAAUAUCUCAGAAUCACCCAAUUCCAUCAGUAAUAAAGCUUUGUGACUUCUGAAAGAAAUGAACUCUAAGGCCACAAGAAUAAGUAAACUCCAAGUGUCUUCCAAGCCAACAGAUUUCAUAUCUCUUGAUAAACGGUUACACUUUCUAUGUUUCCAUUAUGGCUUUGCAUGCAUUUCCUUGUAUGAAUAGAUUUGAAUUCCUCCAAACAUCAUUUCAAUUAGUAUAUCCUGCAAGUCAAAAAGAAGAGAAAUAAAGCCAGCAAAUUUUGGAAUCUAGGAUUCCUGCAGGCACAAAAUACCUGCUACCUUAAAUGUGAAGAAACAAAACAUAAUUGUUCAGUGAAUUUCAAAAUGACUUGCAUUGGCAAGUGGGCCAAGGCAGAUCUUGUAUACAUCUGUAAAGACAAAAAUGAAUAAAAUUGUCCAGUCCAAAAUAUGCACUGAAAUAUGCUCUGGUGCAAAUUACCAUCUUUAAUACAUGUGCAGUAUUUGCCAUUUACCUACACUGUUAUAAGAAAUUUAACUCUCCUGACAGUCUUGUGAAGAUGAAGAAACAGCAGUACAGAUUAUGGCUUUUUUUUUUACAUGGCAAGUAAGAGCAUGGGCAACAUAAAGCAAGGAAGUUGUCCUGACACUUCUCACAGGCAGACAUUCUUGCCUUUGCCUGUGUUCUCUGCAUGAGCAAAGGUGAUCUGGUAUUUAUGAGUUCAGACCUUCUACUUAAUAGAAAAUGAAGGCAGUCUGCAUUUCUAAAACAUUUCACAGACUAAAUUCAAGUCACUUGCAACUGCUGCUGCUUGUAAUGUAAUGAGACAUUGCAGGUCUGUCACCUGUACAAACAAUAUUGAGAAAAUGGUCCAAGCAGAAGAGAAGCAUGUCAGGUGCUGCAUGAUAACAAAAGACAUUUCAGCUUUAACUUUACAACCAAAAUGCAACAGGACUUCCAGGCUAACUCACUUUGGAUAGAUUGUCUCUUUUCCAUUCACAGGCUGCAAGGUUCUGAGAAGGGUUUGUGGAGGUUUGCAGACCUGCGGCCAAAUGAACUUCUUGGCCCAUGCUCGAUCACAGAAUGGUUUGGGUUGGAGGGGUCUUUAAAGAUCAUCUCGUCCAAUCCCCCUGCAAUGGGCAGGGACACCUUCCACUAGAUCAUGUUGUUCAAAGAUGAGCUGCAGCUUUUUUCAUGCAAAUGAGUUCUUGGUCUAUACCUGCCAGAGAUUACUGGUUGUGCCUUAGACACCCAGAGACAAGAUACCCAGCCACCAUCUGCAGUGCAGAGCAGAACAGAGGUAUUAUGGACUCUUCAUUGGCUUAAUAAUCAGGAUUGGAUUUAACAACCUUUUAACAGUGGCACAAGUCAUUUCAAAGA